RNAcentral lists this ribosomal RNA (691 nucleotides) under Salmonella enterica subsp. enterica. Its description in RNAcentral is "bacterial LSU rRNA". It matches the Rfam family "Bacterial large subunit ribosomal RNA", at positions 690 to 1378 of the family's 2925-position model. RNAcentral also lists the same sequence under 1 other name. Lineage: Bacteria; Pseudomonadati; Pseudomonadota; Gammaproteobacteria; Enterobacterales; Enterobacteriaceae. The record is from RNAcentral.
GGGCGUUAAGUUGCAGGGUAUAGACCCGAAACCCGGUGAUCUAGCCAUGGGCAGGUUGAAGGUUGGGUAACACUAACUGGAGGACCGAACCGACUAAUGUUGAAAAAUUAGCGGAUGACCUGUGGCUGGGGGUGAAAGGCCAAUCAAACCGGGAGAUAGCUGGUUCUCCCCGAAAGCUAUUUAGGUAGCGCCUCGUGAAUUCAUCUCCGGGGGUAGAGCACUGUUUCGGCUAGGGGGCCAUCCCGGCUUACCAACCCGAUGCAAACUGCGAAUACCGGAGAAUGUUAUCACGGGAGACACACGGCGGGUGCUAACGUCCGUCGUGAAGAGGGAAACAACCCAGACCGCCAGCUAAGGUCCCAAAGUCAUGGUUAAGUGGGAAACGAUGUGGGAAGGCCCAGACAGCCAGGAUGUUGGCUUAGAAGCAGCCAUCAUUUAAAGAAAGCGUAAUAGCUCACUGGUCGAGUCGGCCUGCGCGGAAGAUGUAACGGGGCUAAACCAUGCACCGAAGCUGCGGCAGCGACACUGUGUGUUGUUGGGUAGGGGAGCGUUCUGUAAGCCUGUGAAGGUGGCCUGUGAGGGUUGCUGGAGGUAUCAGAAGUGCGAAUGCUGACAUAAGUAACGAUAAAGCGGGUGAAAAGCCCGCUCGCCGGAAGACCAAGGGUUCCUGUCCAACGUUAAUCGGGGCAGG